RNAcentral lists this ribosomal RNA (451 nucleotides) under uncultured bacterium. RNAcentral describes it as "partial 16S ribosomal RNA". It matches the Rfam family "Bacterial small subunit ribosomal RNA", at positions 29 to 523 of the family's 1533-position model. The record is from RNAcentral.
AGCGAACGCUGGCGGCAGGCUUAACACAUGCAAGUCGAGCGGGCGUAGCAAUACGUCAGCGGCAGACGGGUGAGUAACGCGUGGGAACGUACCUUUUGGUUCGGAACAACACAGGGAAACUUGUGCUAAUACCGGAUAAGCCCUUACGGGGAAAGAUUUAUCGCCGAAAGAUCGGCCCGCGUCUGAUUAGCUAGUUGGUAGGGUAAUGGCCUACCAAGGCGACGAUCAGUAGCUGGUCUGAGAGGAUGAUCAGCCACAUUGGGACUGAGACACAGCCCAAACUCCUACGGGAGGCAGCAGUGGUGAAUAUUGGACAAUGGGGGAAACCCUGAUCCAGCCAUGCGGCGUGAGUGAUGAAGGCCCUAGGGUUGUAAAGCUCUUUUGUGCGGGAAGAUAAUGACGGUACCGCAAGAAUAAGCCCCGGCUAACUUCGUGCCAGCAGCCGCGGUAA